RNAcentral lists this ribosomal RNA (447 nucleotides) under uncultured bacterium. Its description in RNAcentral is "bacterial SSU rRNA". It matches the Rfam family "Bacterial small subunit ribosomal RNA", at positions 29 to 524 of the family's 1533-position model. The record is from RNAcentral.
AACGAACGCUGGCGGCAGGCCUAACACAUGCAAGUCGAACGCACCGCAAGGUGAGUGGCGCACGGGUGAGCAACACGUGGGAAUGUACCCUUUGGUUCGGAAUAACGUUUGGAAACGAACGCUAAUACCGGAUGAGCCCUGUGGGGAAGAUUAUCGCCAAAGGAGCAGCCCGCGUCUGAUUAGCUAGUUGGUGGGGUAAAGGCCUACCAAGGCGACGAUCAGUAGCUGGUCUGAGAGGAUGAUCAGCCACACUGGGACUGAGACACGGCCCAGACUCCUACGGGAGGCAGCAGUGGGGAAUAUUGGACAAUGGGCGGAAGCCUGAUCCAGCCAUGCCGCGUGAGUGAUGAAGGCCUUCGGGUUGUAAAGACUCUUUCGCACGCAACGAUGAUGACGGUAGCGUGAGAAGAAGACCCCGGCUAACUUCGUGCCAGCAGCCGCGGUAAU